GGGGGCGACAUGGCUUCGACUCUUCAGGGGUUGUGCCUGUGGCAAGCCGAGGAAUGGGCUGGUUGGCCUCGUAAAAUCCACCGGUCCGAACAUUGACUGCCAAUCAAGAACUGGCACUCGCAGCCUAAAUCGGCUGUGACGUUGUCCUCCUGACACCCGCUGGGGGGAGACAACGCGUUUAGCGGGACGGACGUGGAGGUGAGCGACCGACCUUUGCGGACGAACCAACGUGGUGGCUACGGUACCGGGGCGUGCGUGCGCGCAACCCGGCGCCCGACAAUCAAGCGCACGCUAAGCUUGUAGAGGCAGGUGCGGUUCCGGAUGAGGACCCGGGUUCGAUCCCCGGCGCCUCCAUGA
This 357-nucleotide transfer-messenger RNA is filed under the name Pseudobdellovibrionaceae bacterium. RNAcentral's name for it is "Bdellovibrionaceae bacterium (stromatolite metagenome) transfer-messenger RNA". It matches the Rfam family "transfer-messenger RNA". From Rfam's summary of the family: Bacterial tmRNA, also known as 10Sa RNA or SsrA, is named for its dual tRNA and mRNA-like properties. Its role is to liberate the mRNA from a stalled ribosome. To accomplish this part of the tmRNA is used as a reading frame that ends in a translation stop signal. The record is from RNAcentral. Lineage: Bacteria; Pseudomonadati; Bdellovibrionota; Bdellovibrionia; Bdellovibrionales; Pseudobdellovibrionaceae.